AACGAACGCUGGCGGCAUGCCUAACACAUGCAAGUCGAACGAGACCUUCGGGUCUAUUUGCGCACGGGUGCGUAACGCGUGGGAAUCUACCCUCAGGUUCGGAAUCACUCAGAGAAAUUUGAGCUAAUACCGGAUGAUGACGUAAGUCCAAAGAUUUAUCGCCUGAGGAUGAGCCCGCGUAGGAUUAGGUAGUUGGUGAGGUAAAGGCUCACCAAGCCGACGAUCCUUAGCUGGUCUGAGAGGAUGAUCAGCCACACUGGGACUGAGACACGGCCCAGACUCCUACGGGAGGCAGCAGUGGGGAAUAUUGGACGAUGGGCGAAAGCCUGAUCCAGCAAUGCCGCGUGAGUGAUGAAGGCCUUAGGGUUGUAAAGCUCUUUUACCCGGGAUGAUAAUGACAGUACCGGGAGAAUAAGCUCCGGCUAACUCCGUG
This 433-nucleotide ribosomal RNA is filed under the name uncultured bacterium. RNAcentral's name for it is "partial 16S ribosomal RNA". It matches the Rfam family "Bacterial small subunit ribosomal RNA", at positions 29 to 507 of the family's 1533-position model. The record is from RNAcentral.